GACGAACGCUGGCGGCGUGCCUAACACAUGCAAGUCGAACGGGGGUGUGAUUUCGGUUGCACCCUAGUGGCGGACGGGUGAGUAACGCGUGAGCAACCUGACUCUUUGAGGGGGAUAACACUCGGAAACGAGUGCUAAUACCGCAUAAGACCACGACCCGGCAUCGGGAUGAGGUCAAAGGAGCAAUCCGCAGAGAGAGGGGCUCGCGUCCCAUUAGAUAGAUGGCGGGGUAACGGCCCACCAUGUCGACGAUGGGUAGCCGAGCUGAGAGGCUGAUCGGCCACACUGGAACUGAGAGACGGGCCCUACUCCUACGGGAGGCAGCAGUGGGGGAUUUUGGACAAUGGGCGAAAGCCUGAUCCAGCGACGCCGCGUGGAGGACGAAGCCCUUCGGGGUGUAAACUCCUUUUCUCAGGGAAAAAGGAUGAUGGUACCUGAGGAAUAAGCCCCGGCUAACUACGUG
RNAcentral lists this ribosomal RNA (463 nucleotides) under uncultured bacterium. Its description in RNAcentral is "bacterial SSU rRNA". It matches the Rfam family "Bacterial small subunit ribosomal RNA", at positions 28 to 507 of the family's 1533-position model. The record is from RNAcentral.